Molecule: long non-coding RNA, 654 nt
Organism: Homo sapiens (human)
Lineage: Eukaryota; Metazoa; Chordata; Mammalia; Primates; Hominidae
Gene: GNAO1-DT
Product: GNAO1 divergent transcript
Source: Ensembl
GGAACAGUUAUGUAGAUCUACCAGGUGCAGGGAAGCACUCCACACCCUCACCCAGGUCCUGUAUCCCUGCAAGACUGCGUUGGAAAGACUGAAGAGCAUCUGCUCCCUCAAAGGUGAAAACCAGAAAUUGGCAGUAGAUGAUAUGCAACUAUUAAAUAUAAUGUGAAGCUUUAGUCUCAAUAGGUUUGGACAAAUAAUAAAUGAAAGUAAUUUUCAAAACUGAAGGGAAGUAAUACCAAGAAAGUCAGCAGAGUGAAAAGAACACUGGAUAGAAUGAAGAGACAAGACUCUUAGUCUCUGGCCAACUUUGGGAGACUUAAUUCACUUUCCAGGCCUCAGUUUCCUCAAUCAAGAAAUUGGAUUUUAGGCAUCUUUUAUCCGUAAUUCUAAAUCCGAGUUGCGAGGACAGAGAACCUGGAGGACUGACACUGGGAAGAUUACAGAAGGCAGAGCUCCAGAGGGCAAAGCAAGAAAAUGUUACAAAUCUAUUUAUUCAGUCCUUGAAUCUGAGUAUAUCUGUUCCACUAUCAAAAUGGUUCCCUUUACUUUUUUCUUCCCUUUAAGUCAAGCAUGAAUUUUUCAUAUUUCGUAUAGUGUUUGCUUUAGAAAUAUAACACCUUGUAAACGUAACAAGCCAAUAGUAUGAAAAGACUA